Molecule: long non-coding RNA, 950 nt
Organism: Girardinichthys multiradiatus
Lineage: Eukaryota; Metazoa; Chordata; Actinopteri; Cyprinodontiformes; Goodeidae
Exons: 3
Source: RefSeq, a predicted model, not a curated record
AGGGGUGAAAAGUUCUGAUCAGACUAGAACAAGUUGGAACAAAAACCUUAGAAUUUAAACACACGUUUAAAACAAGAAGCCAUGCUUUGAUAUGACAGACCAACACAAAGCAGUGCAUAACUGAGAAGUGGAAGAAAAGGAUCCAUCAGGUCUUCUGCAGCCUGUAUUUAGCUCCAUCCAUCAUCUCAUCAAGUCUGAUCAGCUUCCCUGACCCUGCUGAGGGAAGCAGGGCCACCAUCACGAUGUUGUACUGUGCAUCGAUAGUUUACGGCCACAAAGCGCAGGUGGACGCUAGUAAUUGGGUAACUUCUGAAGGUAAUUGGGUGCGCUGAUUUUAUUUAGGGAUAUGAGAGUCAGGGGGGCUGAAUACAAAUGCACAUUUUAACAAUUUUCAUUACUUUGUACUGGUCUGUCAGAAUCCCAACACAUUUGAAGUCUGUGAUUAUAAUGUCACAAAAUUUGUAUGCAUGGGUGUGAAUGUUUUUGCUAAGCACUGAGGCUUUGCAGCCAUACAUCAUCAGAAACAAACCCAGCAUUUACCUGAUGACACACCGUUUCUACACUCAACAAUGCUUGCAUUUUCAUUUUUUUCCACCCAACAAGCAAGUUUUCUAGGAAUGUCAGAGGAAACAUGAAACUAAGGGAGCAAGUGAGGAGUCUGGAGAAGGACAAAGAGCAACAACGGCGAAGGAUGAAACAAGAGCGCACGGCUGGGGAAAUUGAGUUAAGAUGAGACAUACUUGGAGAGAAACUGCACUGCGACCCAGACACCAGCGUACAUGAUGCCCUUGAUCAGCCAGGAGUCGACGUCCAGGUCGGCGAUGAAACCCACAAGCCAGAUGACGACGAAAGGUGUUCCCAGCAUCACUUUCUGUCUGAACUCCUGGACAGCGAAUCCAGACGUGAGAGGAAGGAACAGAAGCAUGACAACGACCCGAAGCACACAGCCA